RNAcentral lists this unclassified non-coding RNA (230 nucleotides) under plant metagenome. RNAcentral describes it as "partial contains small subunit ribosomal RNA, internal transcribed spacer 1, and 5.8S ribosomal RNA". The record is from RNAcentral.
UCUCCGUUGGUGAACCAGCGGAGGGAUCAUUACAGAGUUGCAAAACUCCCAAACCUUUGUGAACGUUACCUAUCCCGUUGCUUCGGCGGGCGGCCCGGGCCCCGCCCCCGGCGCCCCCCGCCCCCCCGUGGGCGCCCGCCGUAGUUUAACCAACCCUUGAAUUUCAAGGCCUCUCUGGGUUUUCUGUACUGAAUAAGUCAAAACUUUCAACAACGGAUCUCUUGGUUCUG